AGUGAACGCUGGCGGUAGGCCUAACACAUGCAAGUCGAACGGCGGCACAGUAAGAGCUUGCUCUUACGGGUGGCGAGUGGCGGACGGGUGAGGAAUACAUCGGAAUCUACUUUUUCGUGGGGGAUAACGUAGGGAAACUUACGCUAAUACCGCAUACGACCUACGGGUGAAAGCAGGGGAUCUUCGCACCUUGCGCGAUUGAAUGAGCCGAUGUCGGAUUAGCUAGUUGGCGGGGUAAAGGCCCACCAAGGCGACGAUCCGUAGCUGGUCUGAGAGGAUGAUCAGCCACACUGGAACGGAGACACGGUCCAGACUCCUACGGGAGGCAGCAGUGGGGAAUAUUGGACAAUGGGCGCAAGCCUGAUCCAGCCAUACCGCGUGGGUGAAGAAGGCCUUCGGGUUGUAAAGCCCUUUUGUUGGGAAAGAAAAGCAGCAGGUUAAUACCCCGCUGUUCUGACGGUACCCAAAGAAUAAGCACCGGCUAACUUCGUG
RNAcentral lists this ribosomal RNA (492 nucleotides) under uncultured bacterium. Its description in RNAcentral is "partial 16S ribosomal RNA". It matches the Rfam family "Bacterial small subunit ribosomal RNA", at positions 29 to 507 of the family's 1533-position model. The record is from RNAcentral.